This 159-nucleotide small RNA is filed under the name Chrysemys picta bellii (western painted turtle). Its description in RNAcentral is "TUC338 (ENSCPBG00000005469.1)". The record is from RNAcentral. Lineage: Eukaryota; Metazoa; Chordata; Testudines; Emydidae.
CAGAUCCAGGAGUCCUCUGUUUAUCCACAACAGGUACAGGACAGGCAGCAGCUGUGCGAUCUUUCCCCACAUUGCCAUGCCACUGUGCCUUAGCUGUGACCUAGAGAGGAACCACUACAAUGGAGAAGAGGCUGCUUUAUACUCUACCUUUUCACCUCU